UGGGGAAUAUUGCACAAUGGAGGGAACUCUGAUGCAGCGACGCCGCGUGAGUGAUGAAGGAAUUCGUUUCGUAAAACUCUGUUCUAUGGGAAGAAAAGGACUGUACCAUAGGAGAAAGCUCUGGCUAAAUACGUGCCAGCAGCCGCGGUAAUACGUAUGGAGCGAGCGUUGUCCGGAAUUAUUGGGCGUAAAGGGUGCGCAGGCGGCUUUACAAGUUGGAUGUGAAAUAUUGUGGCUCAACCACAAACGUGCAUCCAAAACUGCAAAGCUUGAGUUAAGGAGAGGUAAGUGGAAUUCCUGGUGUGGCGGUGGAAUGCGUAGAUAUCAGGAGGAAUACCGGUGGCGAAGGCGACUUACUGGACUUAAACUGACGCUCAGGCACGAAAGCGUGGGGAGCAAACAGG
RNAcentral lists this ribosomal RNA (404 nucleotides) under Fusobacteriota bacterium. Its description in RNAcentral is "Fusobacteria bacterium partial 16S ribosomal RNA". It matches the Rfam family "Bacterial small subunit ribosomal RNA", at positions 355 to 776 of the family's 1533-position model. The record is from RNAcentral. Lineage: Bacteria; Fusobacteriati; Fusobacteriota.